RNAcentral lists this unclassified non-coding RNA (253 nucleotides) under uncultured Bradymonadales bacterium. Its description in RNAcentral is "contains 16S-23S intergenic spacer region". It matches the Rfam family "Bacterial small subunit ribosomal RNA", at positions 524 to 776 of the family's 1533-position model. Lineage: Bacteria; Deltaproteobacteria; Bradymonadales. The record is from RNAcentral.
UACGGAGGGUGCAAGCGUUGUUCGGAAUCAUUGGGCGUAAAGCGCGCGCAGGCGGCCUUUUAAGUCUGAUGUGAAAGCCCGGGGCUCAACCCCGGAGGAGCAUUGGAAACUGGAAGGCUUGAGACCGAGAGGGGUCAGUGGAAUUCGUGGUGUAGGGGUGAAAUCCGUAGAGAUCACGAGGAACACCGGUGGCGAAGGCGACUGACUAGAUCGGGACUGACGCUGAGGCGCGAAAGCGUGGGGAGCAAACAGG